Molecule: ribosomal RNA, 272 nt
Filed under: uncultured bacterium
Lineage: Bacteria
Description: partial 16S ribosomal RNA
Rfam family: Bacterial small subunit ribosomal RNA
Source: RNAcentral
GAUCCUGGCUCAGGAUGAACGCUAGCGACAGGCCUAACACAUGCAAGUCGAGGGGCAGCGGGGAGUAGCAAUACUCCGCCGGCGACCGGCGCACGGGUGAGUAACACGUGUGCAACCAACCCCGUACCGGGAGAUAACCCGCGGAAACGUGGACUAAUACCCCAUAACACCUUUCCCCCGCAUGGGGGAGAGUUUAGAAUCCCGAUGGUACGGGACGGGCACGCGCGACAUUAGGUAGUUGGCGGGGUAACGGCCCACCAAGCCGACGAUGU